Molecule: long non-coding RNA, 208 nt
Filed under: Homo sapiens (human)
Lineage: Eukaryota; Metazoa; Chordata; Mammalia; Primates; Hominidae
Description: HSALNT0153795
Source: RNAcentral
UCAUACACAGCUUGUGACCCACUGCAAUUCUGAGCUCUUCUUUCUUCUUCAGGAAAUAGUUUAUUCCUCUCUCCUGGGUGACUACUCUGUGCUUUCCCUAAUGGCCUCCACCUAUCCAUUUGGCCAUCCCCAGGGGUCAAGAACAUUCCCAACUGUAACCAGCUUUCCCAGGGACUUGCUCUCACACCAGUUUACAUCAGAAGACAAU